GACAGAGGAUGCAAGCGUUAUCCGGAUUCACUGGGUUUAAAGGGUGCGUAGGUGGGCUAGUAAGUCCGUGGUGAAAUCUCCAAGCUUAACUUGGAAACUGCCGUGGAUACUAUUAGUCUUGAAUAUUGUGGAGGUAAGCGGAAUAUGUCAUGUAGCGGUGAAAUGCUUAGAUAUGACAUAGAACACCGAUAGCGAAGGCAGCUUGCUACACAAUCAUUGACACUGAGGCACGAAAGCGUGGGGAUCAAACAGG
This 253-nucleotide ribosomal RNA is filed under the name uncultured bacterium. RNAcentral's name for it is "partial 16S ribosomal RNA". It matches the Rfam family "Bacterial small subunit ribosomal RNA", at positions 524 to 776 of the family's 1533-position model. The record is from RNAcentral.